RNAcentral lists this ribosomal RNA (603 nucleotides) under uncultured Burkholderia sp. Its description in RNAcentral is "bacterial SSU rRNA". It matches the Rfam family "Bacterial small subunit ribosomal RNA", at positions 158 to 756 of the family's 1533-position model. The record is from RNAcentral. Lineage: Bacteria; Pseudomonadati; Pseudomonadota; Betaproteobacteria; Burkholderiales; Burkholderiaceae.
CCGGAUUAAUACCGCAUACGCUCUACGGAGGAAAGGGGGGGAUCUUAGGACCUCUCGCUACAGGGGCGGCCGAUGGCAGAUUAGCUAGUUGGUGGGGUAAAGGCCUACCAAGGCGACGAUCUGUAGCUGGUCUGAGAGGACGACCAGCCACACUGGGACUGAGACACGGCCCAGACUCCUACGGGAGGCAGCAGUGGGGAAUUUUGGACAAUGGGCGCAAGCCUGAUCCAGCAAUGCCGCGUGUGUGAAGAAGGCCUUCGGGUUGUAAAGCACUUUUGUCCGGAAAGAAAACUUCCUGGUUAAUACCCGGGGAGGAUGACGGUACCGGAAGAAUAAGCACCGGCUAACUACGUGCCAGCAGCCGCGGUAAUACGUAGGGUGCAAGCGUUAAUCGGAAUUACUGGGCGUAAAGCGUGCGCAGGCGGUUCGCUAAGACAGAUGUGAAAUCCCCGGGCUUAACCUGGGAACUGCAUUUGUGACUGGCGGGCUAGAGUAUGGCAGAGGGGGGUAGAAUUCCACGUGUAGCAGUGAAAUGCGUAGAGAUGUGGAGGAAUACCGAUGGCGAAGGCAGCCCCCUGGGCCAAUACUGACGCUCAUGCACGA